Molecule: long non-coding RNA, 1217 nt
Filed under: Bos indicus x Bos taurus (hybrid cattle)
Lineage: Eukaryota; Metazoa; Chordata; Mammalia; Artiodactyla; Bovidae
Description: lncRNA (ENSBIXG00005009678.1)
Source: RNAcentral
UGACGAGGGGCACAUUGAUUUCUUCACCAACUUCUUAUUCCCUCUCCUUUCAGGCAUGUUGGAAGAUUGCAUUGUCUUUCUCCUUGAAGUUAGACACAGCUGCAUGGGUGUUGAGCCAAUAAAACAGAGCAGAAGUGAAAUAAGACACUUCUAAGUGGAAGACUGCAAGUCUAGUACUCAUCUCUCCAGCCCUUCCUGCCCCUACUUGGAUGAGUGUAAUCACAGGAGUUCAUAUCCACAUGGAGGUGGUAUAAGCCUGGAGCAGCCUGGAAGGCUGAGCAAGCACACGGAGAGACAACCAUGGAGAAUUGCCUGGAGAUCAGCAGAUUUGUUGUAUUCUCAGGAAGAGCUCCUAUGCAGCUCAGUCCUCAGUGAUGGUGGAGAAGAGAAGAGAGCGUUCUGAGAGGUCUGCCGGUAAGAAGUCCCACCUGUGGUCUCAUCCUUGCUAAGGAGGGAAGGAUGGUUCCACUAAUCCAGGCAGCUAGCCACAGACCUUGCUGCUAAAAGAGCUUCUCUCCUGACUCCUGUUCUGUGCUUCAUUCCUCUGCUUGGAGCUCUCUCAUGCCCAACACCUACAGGGUUAGACCAUCCCUGGCUUCUCAAGACCCCUGGUCUUUGAAGGGACUCUUGCAGUGGUGGUGAAGACUUUGGAUGAAAUUUGGCCUUCUUGGACUGCCCCACAGUCUCCAUUACUGACACCUGUGUGGUGCCAUCUUCCUGGGAUACUGUCUACCUGGAACUAGAGGCCUAGCUUACUUUCCCCAAUAGCCUUUCCCCAUCUCAGACCCCAGCUGUCUGGAGGUGCUGGAUCUUCCUGCUUCCACAGGUUUUUGACCCAGGGUAGCUCUGCCUCUAGAUCCCUGUUUUACUGUGCAUGCUUAGCUCAUCAGAGAGCAGAAAACCUUGAUUUCCUUGAGCCCACUGAGUGUAAAGCUGGGAAUUCUACAUGACCAUCUGCAGAUGGGACCACGCGAGCUGAGUAGGGGACUGUAACCUGGGCUGGGAAGGACUUAAUUCAUCAGUUUUCACAUUGUGGAUGCAUACUGAAUUUCAGUGCCCAGGCCACUCCCCAGCCCAGAUAAAGCAGAAUCUCUGGGUGAGCCUAGGCAUCAGGGCAUUCCAGUAUCUUAGGGGAUUCCAGUGCCUAUUGUAGACUGUAAAUCAGAGAGUUAAACUCUUGCUAGCGUAGAUUUGAAACACCUCUCACUGCAGGGGUG